GCUUGACUGUAGCUUGUAAUUGGGUUCGGGCUUUUUUUGCGCAGCCUAGGUGGGAGGCAAUCGAUGAUUUUUUUCCGGAAAAAUUUGAGCCAUUCGUGAGAGACCACUCUGAAAAGGCUAGAAUCCUAAUAAUGAUCCUUGAAUCAGGACAUUUGACAGUUGCAGGUGGGCAGUUUUACUGGGGCGGUAUUCUCCUAAAAAGUAACGGAGGGGUGCAAAGGUUCCCUCAAGCUGGACGGAAAUCAGCUUAAGAGUGUAAAGGCAAAAGGGAGCUUGACUGCAAGACCUACAAGUCGAGCAGGGGCGAAAGCCGGCCUUAGUGAUCCGACGGUACCAGCGUGGAAGGGCCGUCGCUCAACGGAUAAAAGUUA
This 371-nucleotide ribosomal RNA is filed under the name uncultured alga. RNAcentral's name for it is "partial 23S ribosomal RNA". It matches the Rfam family "Bacterial large subunit ribosomal RNA", at positions 2098 to 2465 of the family's 2925-position model. The record is from RNAcentral.